ACGUUCGUAGCUCAACUGGUUAGAGCACUACUAUGACAUGGUAGAGGUUAGUGGUUCAAGUCCACUCGGACGUA
This 74-nucleotide transfer RNA is filed under the name Buchnera aphidicola (Sitobion avenae). RNAcentral describes it as "tRNA-Val". It matches the Rfam family "tRNA". Rfam says of the family: Transfer RNA (tRNA) molecules are approximately 80 nucleotides in length. Their secondary structure includes four short double-helical elements and three loops (D, anti-codon, and T loops). The record is from RNAcentral. Lineage: Bacteria; Pseudomonadati; Pseudomonadota; Gammaproteobacteria; Enterobacterales; Erwiniaceae. RNAcentral also lists the same sequence under 1 other name.